GAAGGAUUGUGGCUUGGAGACUUAGGUGGAAAGGGCAGCACAUGGAUACCUGCAGGAAGGAGUUCCAUUCAGGAUUUGAAGCAGUUGGGAGACUACAGCAAACACCAGUCACCUGGCAGUUAUUGCUGUGAGAUGAACAGGUGAUUACAGGCAAAAGGCAGGGAAGAUGAUACGCGGAAGAGAGGAGAGAAGCAGAGGGGAGCCUGUGCAGUGUCUAUUAGAGAGCUCGCUUUUCAGUAGCACACAAGCCAGUUUAAAGGAGCAAAAAGCAACAGUUUCUCCAGCUUUUCCUUUCUGCGCCAGACAAGAUUUCUUUGAGAGUAAAAUAAAAGUCUCCCUUCUGAUCUCAUGGGUAAAAAUUAAAAGAGUUCCCUAUUUAUCACAGCAGAAAUUUUAGCUCCAUCUAUUUCUUGUCUCUUUCUAAUUCAGCCUUUGAGGUACCAUUUAAGUUUUAGAAUUCAGAGCUUUUCAGAAAUAAUUUCCCAGCACUUUUCUUCCACACUAAAAAUUCAUGCCAUAAAUGUUAAUUUUGCAGUAUUAAUAUUUAGUGCUAGCAUGGAAGGUGCUGGACCAGCAUCCCUUGGACACCUAAAUCUAAACCUAAGGAAUAGUGUAGCCAAGACAACAAUAGGUCUCAUGUCCUCCCUUGAGCUCUGUUAUGUAUCUGACCUCUUGCUGCUGGGAGGAUCAAUAGCAGCAAGGGAUUACAGCAGGGUUACCCCAGGCAAGCCUCACACCUAGGCUGGUAACAGACAGCUAGCCUUACUCGCCAACACUCAUUCCAGGCAUAGGGAGAGUAAGGUACACCUAUACCUCUGUUUCCACAAACACAGUAACUACUUGCAUCCAUAGUAUCUGUUGCUAGGAGUUAUGCUAGAGAUGAAUUUGGUUCAGUAUAAAACCUGGCUAACUGCAGAGUUGACUGUCUGUGAGAGGGGCUGUUAUGAAUGAUGGAUGUGUAGUUCUCAGCACAUGCUACAGGUCACUGCCAUUUUAUUAUGGUAUCUUCAGUGAAACAUAGGUAGCAGUGGUACUUAAGUGUGACCUCUGUGACAGAAACUUCAGGAAAUGAAAUCCAUCAGGCUACUCUUUUACACUGGUAGUUGAAUUGCUAUCAAAGGUGGAGCAGUGGGCAAACCUGAUUUCUUCAAACUCAGACAUUCUUUGAAGUUCUGUAGCCUUUCUGAGCUUGUAAAACCAUUGAUAGAAAGGCACACUGCUUUAACAGGUACAAGAAAUAAAAGCAGCUUCUGUUUCUCUGCAUGAGGAGAUUUGAGAGCUGUCACUGAGCUUAGCCUGUACUAAAAGUAAAAGGGGUAGAUGCUCUUCAGAAAGCCAUGUUGGAGUGGUUUCCUCAUGUGAGGUGAAUGUGUUCAGCACACUGCUGCCAGAGCACAGCCUGUUUAGCCCACUGGAAUAGAGUACCCCAAGCGCAGAGAUUAAAGCCUUUGUGAGAUGAAGGGGGACAUGCUGGAUACUUGAAUAGAAGAGAUCCUUAUGGUGGUUGAAGUAAACCAAACCUAGAUAUUCUUCAUUUAACACAAAGCAUGUUCAUAGUUACUGAUCUUGCUCAGGGUCUGGAGUAUCAGAAGAAUCUUUUCCUAAUCUAUGGCAGCAUUUGGAAAGGGGAGGCUUGCUGGGGCUAUGUGCAGACAUCUGUGGGGCGUGCUUGGAGAAGACAGAAAGGAGACAUACAAUCUUGGGGCUAAAAGCAAUUGCUAUAGGCACUUCUGUGUAAAGUCACUAUUGCCAAUGCCUAAACCUUUCCACUCUCUUAGUUUUAGAGACUAGCAUAUUGGAACCAAAAAAGAACUGCCUACUCAUAAAGUUGGCCCAACAUAUGUUGGCUCUUGCCUCUCCAGCAAGUCUGUAAGCUCUCCAGGGAAGGGACUCUCUGCUUCUACAGUUUACAUAGCGCUGAGUACACUGAACUAUCCUUUGUACAUUAAUCUGUUAAACAGGGCCAAUUCUAACCCGUUAUUGUCAGUUUGCAUUAGCAAAUUCCAACAUUACCUCUUUCCAAAUUACAAUUGAUUAAUGCCUAUGAAAAUGAGAUGUUCCUCCCGCAUGUGUUCUUACUUGUUUCCACCAACACAGGGCAGUCGAUGCAAAAUUUCAGAACAGAUCUGAACUUCUCAAGAUUUCUGGCCCUUAGACUGGACUCUCGGCAGAAGUGAAUUUGUGUCCCUCAACCUGUCAGAGCCUCCCAAUGGUUACUAUUGCUUUGGGCUAACUUCCUGCUAGCCCAAGCUCACAGGUUGCAAUCAGCUUGCAUUUCUCUUCUCCCAAAUGAAUGUCAAACAUCUCAUUGCCCUUCGCUGAUGUCAGUCCACUGGCUCUGUUGAAUUUACUCACCCUGACAUAAAUGAGAGAAGAACUAGGCUCCAAAGCUGCUGUAGUGGUUGCUCAUGGCAAACCAUGGUCCCUGGGGGCUGAGCUGGAAAGGGAAUUAGACCUGUCCUGUGUCACUAGUAACAGAGGCUUAUGUCUCAGCUUUUGUAGGUAACUUGACUUAACUGCAUGCCGAAGGAAAACACGGAAGCCCUGAAAACAGAUUGCUUUUUUUCUUUUUUUUUUUCUCCAAAAAUACAGUGUAACAGUGCAAGCUGGGCAGACUGCUGCUGGUCGGUCAUAUGCAGAAAAAGCACAGCACAGUAAUGCUGCUCUGGUGGGCAGGGGCACUGGGUCUGCUCCAGCACAGCUCGUUCUGCCUGCAGUGCCAAGAAGUACUGGGUCUGUGGUCACUGCUGUCCUCAGCAGUAUUUGAAGUAGUGUAGUAAAGACAAUGGUACCUGCAUUCCAUUCCUAAGCUUUGUACACAUGCAACCCCCUCUGGUUUAUUUUAUUUAAGCUUCUAUUUUAGAAACGUAAGCAGAACUUGUUCUCACCCUCUGUCUUGUUCUUGGAAAAGUACAUUAAAAAAAAAAAAAAAAAGACUAUUUUGAACCUUGGCAAAACCAGUCUGAGUCACAGAAAAGCUUUGGGUCACAACCUGUUCUUGCUGACCUUACUCUCUUAACCUCAUGAUGUAGCCCUGCACCAGCUGCCGUUGACCCUCAUUAGCCUCUAUGGGGUGGAGCUAGUGCUGCCAUCUCCCUGGCAGGCACCUCGUAUUGCUAAAAACCAAUGGAAAUUCCCUUUUGGAUCUGAUUUUAGAGUAGAGUCAGUUGCUUUUUCAGUUCUCAAUGCAGCAAAAUAAAUAACAAAGAUUUACAAAGAUUUAAUAUGAAAUAUAUAUAGAAUCAGACUUGCUGACACGAAUAAGGUAGAGCACAAAGUUUUCCAGAGCUUGAAGCCAAGUGGGUCUCCUUCUGGGAUUCUAAAACCUAGAAACAUUUGGUUUAUUGUUUCUCAUCUCUCAGAAAUAUGUCGUCCCUCUGCUCUUGUAGUAAAAGAAAAACCUGUAUAAGAAAUAAAACUACUUAUCUCAUAUCUGUGGGGAGCAACUUAGGAUGGGAACCAGCAUCCUUGAAGGCACCCAUCUCAAUUCUGAAGAUACCAUUACACUUAAAAAGAGGCUACCCUUACCCAGAUGAAUGUAACUAGCAGGGAAGUAACUAUGACUCUUUUGAAGUAAAUCUAUUGGGAAUAAUGUUGCUGAAAUUUCACUUCUGGCUCUAAACUUCCCCUCACCUCCCGAGGGGCGAAGCUGAGUUGAAAUCUGCCCUCUUCCCACAGUGGUGCUGCUAAAUGAAUGCGUCACCUGUGAAUUACAGGGCAGUAAAUACAUCCAGUGGCACCUCAUAAAGCAAGGCAGAGUGAAGUUCCGGUGCUUUAUGGUGUCACCAGAACCCUGUGAUGUAUUUAUAGCCAGCUUCACAGUUUUUCCUUUUUAUUUUUUUUAUUUUUAUGUUGUACAGAUUGGCUCUCUUGGCCUUUCUCCUUUUUGCCUAAGGCAAUUUACCCAGUGGCUUGUAGGAAAGGAAGGUCAGUAGGCAGAAUUCACACAGGAUGGCUCCUCAGCAUGGGGACAGCACACAGCAGCUCUGCUUUUACUGAUCAGGGACCACCAGGCACUUUAUGGCUUAGGCCAGGCAGUCUGAAAUGAUGCUUAUCUCUUUCGUACAUCCCCUGCAGCAAAAAGUGGAGGUCAGCAGGCUUUCAGGGCAUGUUCUGACUUGGGAGAGGAGGUGGGAGAUAAAGUGUAACAGUACAGUUAGGAGAAGGGGGAGGCUUCCUCUCCAAGCCCUGAUGCUUCGGGAUAUCCUGCCACCUGCAAGGCAACAACUCCAGGGUCCUCCGCAAAGCUCAGGGAUGGAAACACUUGUGCCCAGAUGAAGCUGCCCCGUUCCCUGUGCUGUGCUGCUGCAGCACACUGUAGGUCUGCCACCUUGACCAGCGGCCACCACAUCAGCGGGAUGUGCAUCCCAGUGAGAUGUGCUGUUCAGAACGGAGGAUCCCGGGGCCUGUUCUGUUCAGUUCCCAUGUCUAUCAGGCACUCACUGGCUUAACGCUUCUGAGCCUCUGCUUUCUUAUCUGCAGAACAACAAAGUAAUACCUAAAGCUGUUGGAUGACCUCAUUAAUAAAAGAUUUUAAAGCACUCUCAGAUUCUUAGGUGGCAGAUGUUGGAUAAAUUUGGAAGUCAUAUUCUUGCUUUUCAGCUUUAGCACCUGCAGUCAUUGAUUAAGCCCAGCAAAACACUGAAAUAUUUCUGACUGAUCGAGCCACUGAUUUAGAUCACUCAAACUAAAAGUCUCUAGAAAAUAAGCUGUGAGUGUACCGGGGUCAGUGGGAAGCUCCAGAUGUGGAACUUGGGCUGACAGCACGACAUGCUGCACCAAUAGGACGUGAGAGAAUGACCUCAAGUUGCACCAGGAGAGGUUCAGGUUGUAUAUUAGGAGAAAUUUCAUCUCAGAAAGAGUGGUAAUACAUCGGAACAGGCUGCCUAGGGAGGUGGCAGAGUCACAGUCCCUGGAGGUGUUCAAGAACUACACGUGGAGGGA
Molecule: long non-coding RNA, 4944 nt
Organism: Gallus gallus (chicken)
Lineage: Eukaryota; Metazoa; Chordata; Aves; Galliformes; Phasianidae
Exons: 3
Source: RefSeq, a predicted model, not a curated record